Molecule: ribosomal RNA, 252 nt
Filed under: uncultured bacterium
Lineage: Bacteria
Description: partial 16S ribosomal RNA
Rfam family: Bacterial small subunit ribosomal RNA
Source: RNAcentral
GUCCACGCCGUAAACGAUGAGUACUAAGUGUUGGAGAAAUUCAGUGCUGUAGUUAACGCAAUAAGUACUCCGCCUGAGUAGUACGUACGCAAGUAUGAAACUCAAAGGAAUUGACGGGACCCCGCACAAGCGGUGGAUCAUGUUGUUUAAUUCGAAGAUACGCGAAGAACCUUACCAGGUCUUGACAUCCCCUGCAAGUCUAUAGAGAUAUAGAGGAGGUUAACAGGGAGACAGGUGGUGCAUGGUUGUCGU